This 78-nucleotide transfer RNA is filed under the name Oscillospiraceae bacterium. RNAcentral describes it as "tRNA-Glu". It matches the Rfam family "tRNA". Rfam says of the family: Transfer RNA (tRNA) molecules are approximately 80 nucleotides in length. Their secondary structure includes four short double-helical elements and three loops (D, anti-codon, and T loops). Further hydrogen bonds mediate the characteristic L-shaped molecular structure. tRNAs have two regions of fundamental functional importance: the anti-codon, which is responsible for specific mRNA codon recognition, and the 3' end, to which the tRNAs corresponding amino acid is attached (by aminoacyl-tRNA synthetases). tRNAs cope with the degeneracy of the genetic code in two manners: having more than one tRNA (with a specific anti-codon) for a particular amino acid; and 'wobble' base-pairing, i.e. permitting non-standard base-pairing at the 3rd anti-codon position. Lineage: Bacteria; Bacillati; Bacillota; Clostridia; Eubacteriales; Oscillospiraceae. The record is from RNAcentral. RNAcentral also lists the same sequence under 1 other name.
GCUCCCAUCUUACUAAAUGGAAUAGGUGGUCGCCCUCUCAAGGCGAAGAUGCCGGUUCGAGUCCGGCUGGGAGUACCA